AAAGUUUGAAAAGUUCAAAAGUAUACUUUAUAACACAGAAAAAGUUCAAUAGUAAAAAUAAACUCUCUGUUCUCUUUCAUAGUAGGUGAAAUAAAGAUCUCGCGUCGCCGUUAAUCAAUCGCCGUCCCAGAUUUCUUUUGGGCUCAAGGACUUCUCUCUCAGCUGUUUUCAUCUGAGCGGAGCUUCUACCGGAGAUAUUAACUUUUUCGGUCCGGUUAAAACAAACUUUUACAAAGUGCUCUGUUUUUGUUCUGUCAUCUGCUUGCUGAAGUUUUCAUGGAUAAAGACUUGGAUAAAGCUAUUCAAAACAUGUCUCUUGAAGAUAAUCAACCUCUGAUUCUCUCAAAUCUUCCGCAGUUUUCCUCUAUUGAACGCAAUAGCUGUAGUAUUCUGGGAAGAUUCUUAAAUCCAGAAAAUCAACGGAUGUCUAACUGGAUUUUAGACAUGCCUCGUAUUUGGCGUUUAUCUAAUCGUGUUAGAGGUGUGGC
RNAcentral lists this small RNA (488 nucleotides) under Arabidopsis thaliana (thale cress). Its description in RNAcentral is "ATSL104000". The record is from RNAcentral. Lineage: Eukaryota; Viridiplantae; Streptophyta; Magnoliopsida; Brassicales; Brassicaceae.